UUAGGAUGGAGAAAGAUGUCACUCAAUGGGAUUACUCAGAAGCCAAAGAGAGGUGGAAAGGCCUCUUUUGGCUGUGACCCCACAGGUUUGUGGCAGAGCCUCCAUCCUGGGGUAAGUAACACACGUCAUUUCGCACUUACAGAACACAAAAAUCCCUAUUUUUGGUGAAUAUAAGUGUUGUGUUUUUGUGGUGUGUUAUGUGUAGGUUUUUAAUCUUCAUGGCAUAUUUAUUUAUUUUGCACUAUUUUAAAAAACCUAUAGCACUUAUUGCACUUUUAAUGUAGUUACCUAUAAAUGACUACGUGUGUGGUGUGUUUAUAUUAAUAAUUUAUUUAUUGUUAUGUAUUUACUUAUUACAUUUUAGCUUAGUGUAGUGCGGAUUAGUUUUUUGUUCGUGUGGGUGCAUGUCAUGUUUCAACUUUGUGCAUGUAAUUCAUCAUUCACCAAUCCCAUUAAAAUGAUAAUAGGGGGAGACGUGUUGCGAAAAGGAAAUCACCCAGAAACGGUAGGUGAGGUGUACGGUAACACCCUGGAAACAGUCCAGGGGACCGCCCUUCUUUAGCAGUGAAUUUUACUGGGUAAGUUUCCUUUGAAUUAUUUAUUAUCUUGGUUUUAAGCCUUGGGGUCUUUUUUUUUUUUUUUUUUUUUUUUAGUGUAUUAAAGGUUCUGCCAUGUGGUUUUUUUUUUUUUUUUCCUUCAUAUUAGUUGGUCUUAUUGAUCUUAUUGUUUUAUUUAAUUUUAUUUUUGGCAUGACAGUUCUUUAUUUAUUGAAUAAAGAUUUUAAUUAUCGGAAAUGAUGAAUGGAGAUAUUAGUUCCCGUCAAUUUGGACAGUGUGUGGAGCCAGACACCUUUGGGUAAGCUGCUGAUCCAUUCUGAUCCGCAGGAAAAAGAGAAAAGAAAAAAAAAAAAAUAUCCAGCAGUGAUUGGAAACCACCAAGAUGCUGAUACGACCAGUGGGUCAUUGACCGGGCCAUGGAUGGGGUUUUUCUACUGGAUUUCGUCACGGAGCGUAAAGGCAAUAAAAUGUUAGUCUCAUGUAAUUAUGAAAAUCAAUGCAUUGAUUGAAACCAUGCUGGAAUUAUGCAUUUAAAUUCAAUUUGCAUCCAUUCGGCUGGGAAACAAACUGCGACAGUGUCCUCGUGGGUAUGUCGUGGCGUCAAUCUGUCAAAUAUUUUUACUUUACUUCAGGUAAGAACUAGAUACGCAGUGAUAUUAAUAAAUUAAUACACAGCUGCGCGCGGAGACCGAUC
This 1251-nucleotide long non-coding RNA is filed under the name Scleropages formosus (Asian bonytongue). RNAcentral describes it as "lncRNA (ENSSFOG00015024456.1)". The record is from RNAcentral. Lineage: Eukaryota; Metazoa; Chordata; Actinopteri; Osteoglossiformes; Osteoglossidae.